Molecule: ribosomal RNA, 484 nt
Filed under: uncultured bacterium
Lineage: Bacteria
Description: partial 16S ribosomal RNA
Rfam family: Bacterial small subunit ribosomal RNA
Source: RNAcentral
AUUGAACGCUGGCGGCAUGCUUUACACAUGCAAGUCGAACGGCAGCGCGGGCUUCGGCCUGGCGGCGAGUGGCGAACGGGUGAGUAAUGCAUCGGAACGUGCCCAGUAGUGGGGGAUAGCCCGGCGAAAGCCGGAUUAAUACCGCAUACGACCUGAGGGUGAAAGCGGGGGACCGAAAGGCCUCGCGCUAUUGUAGCGGCCGAUGUCGGAUUAGCUAGUUGGUGGGGUAAAGGCUGACCAAGGCGACGAUCCGUAGCUGGUCUGAGAGGACGACCAGCCACACUGGGAGUGAGACAGGGCCCAGGGGCCUGCGGGAGGCAGCAGUGGGGAAUGUUGGACAAUGGGGGGAACACUGAUCCAGCCAUGCCGCGUGCGGGAAGAAGGCCUUCGGGUUGUAAACCGCUUUUGUUCGGGAAGAAAUCCUCUGGGCUAAUACCCCGGGGGGAUGACGGUACCGGAAGAAUAAGCACCGGCUAACUACGUG